RNAcentral lists this unclassified non-coding RNA (150 nucleotides) under uncultured Trichosphaeriales. RNAcentral's name for it is "sequence contains ITS2". The record is from RNAcentral. Lineage: Eukaryota; Fungi; Ascomycota; Sordariomycetes; Trichosphaeriales.
CAACCCCUAAGCACAGCUUAUUGUUGGGCGUCUACGUCUGUAGUGCCUCAAAGACAUUGGCGGAGCGGCAGUAGUCCUCUGAGCGUAGUAAUUCUUUAUCUCGCUUUUGUUAGGUGCUGCCCCCCGGCCGUAAAACCCCCAAUUUUUUCU